CGGGCUGUAGCGCAGCUUGGUAGCGCACCUGGUUUGGGACCAGGGGGUCGUCGGUUCAAAUCCGACCAGCCCGACGA
RNAcentral lists this transfer RNA (77 nucleotides) under hydrothermal vent metagenome. RNAcentral describes it as "tRNA-Pro-TGG". It matches the Rfam family "tRNA". From Rfam's summary of the family: Transfer RNA (tRNA) molecules are approximately 80 nucleotides in length. The record is from RNAcentral.